GGCUACUAUACUCUUAUGAGUACGAUCGCAUUCGUACUCAUAAGUUGUUUUCGAUGAUAGAGCUUCUAAAUCGACGAUCCAUACCGUUAAACAUUAUCUAGAGCAUUUAAAACUUCUAGAAAUCAAAUUUUAUAAUUUUUCGAUAUCAUUUACCUUACGAUCGAAAGAUCACAAAAUUAACAAUUUUUAACGGCCGGUAUGAGAUAUUUGCUAGUUAAACAAUGAAAAAGAAUCGGAAUAGGUUGAAUUUUUGAUAGAAAAUUCUAUUUAUUACCUAAAUAAAGAUCAAUAACUCCGAUCUUAAAUUAAAGGAUCCGAUCAUCCAUUUUUAGAAUGUAGUUUGAUUUUAACCAUUCAUUUUAUACCCGCUUGAUGGACUUUAUAAUAAUUUCGAAAAAUUACAAAAUUUAUUUUCUAGGAGUUUCAAAUACUCUAAAUCAUGUUUAACGGUGUGGAUCGUUGAUUCGAAAAUUCCAACAUCGAAAACAACUUAUAAAUACGAAGGGCUAUAUACUCAUAAGAGUAUAGCUAUAUACUCAUAAGAGUAUAGUAGCCAUACUAUAUAUAUAUAUAUNAUCACAACCACAACCUACAUUUACCAAACAACAACCAAAGCAUGAUAUGUAUUUCCAUACAGCUAACAAUCCUUAGAAUGAUGCAUGCCUCUAAGCACUCCUUAGGCGCUGGAUGAUGCAAUGCACAAUACAACAAACAUCCUAUUUAAAGGUGCUCCCAACACGGAAGCUUUUGUUUUUAAACUCUAAUUCAUUCAUUCAUAAAAACCAUUCGAAAAUCUUUUUAAAACUGUUUCCCACACGGAAACUCUAUUUUGAAAACCAGCUACCUCGAGGGGUAGAAAUCCGCAAAGCGUAUAAAUCCCAUCUCAUGUAUAAUAAAACAUCCAUAAUCUUAUGCAUACGAGGAAAACCAACUCAUUCAAACAUUCAAACAAUCAUAAAGAUCAUCUAAUCAUGCAUAACGGAAAUCACAACAUUCAAACAUCUAACUGAACCAUUUAUUAUUAACAACUAUUAAGUGCAGAAAUAAAAAUAACCAGGGUGACGGUCGCUAUACCAGACUAGCUAGAUCGUCCUCUCGUCGAGCCCAAGUACCACUCCAAAUCCGAAUCACCUGGGGAAAUGGGGGGGUGAGAAACCGCAACCAUGGUUUUCUCAGUGGGUACGACAGAGCCACGAAGGCAAGUCGUAAUCACCGGAAACCAAAGGAGAUAGAUAAACAAGUAUAUAUAUGUAAGCUGAUAUGAAAUAGAACUACAGUAGCUACAACAGAUAAAAAGGAAGCAAUAAAUAAACCUGCUACUGUAUAGAAAACAAUGCAAAGAAUGCCUCAAUGUACUAAACCAGAAACUGUACCCAAUCUGUGCCUACUGUAUCGGUCCGCAGACCUCAAGCGCUGCCUGUCACUAACUGCACCGACCUGAUCCUUCCGCCCCGCAGGACGACCUAUUCGGAUAAGUACACCUCCGAUCGGUGGCCAAACCGAUCCGGUGUCAUGAACACACCCAAGGCUCCGUGACUAGUCAUGCUGUAUGCUCAAACAAAACCCCGGUAAAGCCGAUGCUAGGGCCGAAGCCAACAAGUGGCGUACAACGCCGAACCGAAAUAGAAGCUAGGGCGUACAACCCGACCUCGAUCACCCAACAGUCGAAAGACACAUGACAAGAGAGUCGUGUGUUGCCUGGACGCCAAGUCCACAAGAGCAAUACAAAUGCAACCCACUGCUCUACCAAUAUGUUAUCCACCACUAUACAAUGCAACUCAAGGGUGGCGUAAACGCAAACAGUAAGAAGCAAUGACAUGUAGAGUCUAAAUACAGGAAUAGAAAAACAGGAGAAGGAGUGAAACGCUCUCCACCGACUAACCACUCGAAGCACCGCCACCCGUCUACAUGUGCGUCAGCAGCACCAUCUGGGAAACUGCACUUUAAUUCGAUUUAUCUUUUUCGCGGACCCUACGAGAUCCCACGGUACAGUACACAUCAAAAACCACUGAAUACACACUCUCACAAACGCGCACGACAUUACCACUAACCGACCUCCCCGUAUCGGUUCCCGGCCAAAAACCAGAGAUCAUGCGAUACUCAUCAGCGGAAAAGUUCCACGAAAACCACACGGGACGUCGUCGGGGACGCCACGCCAUAAAUGUCCGCGAACACUCACGACAGACCCUCAAACACAACGAAGCAGGGGGGCAGCGGAGAGGCGGACGCCACAAAGAGCACAUGAGAGCGACUCGUCGCCACGAGCUCACACAUGUCUCCAAAGCACUCCAAUUUUGUUUGUCUUGGCAUCAAACACGAGGUCAACACAACAAUAGAUCAUCGCCUGACAUAAUCAUACGAAUCCCAGAUUCCCGAAGUGUCUCUAUUUCGACAAGCCCGAACCACAUCCGAUCGCUCACGCUAUCAUCCAAUCGACCCACAAAAAUGAUAUGGGACCAGCCCCAACAAGCUCAGCGACAAAACACGAAGCAACAAACACCGUCGGAAAGGAAUCCCGAACUAACCGCGUUCUUCAGCGAAUUCUCGUGAAAAGGGGCGCACCGAAUCGGGCUUACCGAUUUCCGCGAAACGCUAACGGACCCUAAGGACAGAUCAAGUCACGCGGUCCAUUACAAACUCCCACACAUACCGCCAGUAGGCGGGCGACGCGAGAGGCGACGAAAGUGCGAUAAAAGACACUCUAAUUACAUACAAAUUGGACAGCAUUUUAUUCAAUUUGACGCGAUCCAAGCGGCUCGUUCAGUGACGCGCAAAUCGUAAGGACUUUCCCGAAUCUAACGCAGAGACACAAUCGACUGACAGGAGGAGGGGAUUCAUGUGAGCCAGCGAAGUCGCCUGCUCGAACGAUCCGGCAUUCACAGGCGCUACGUGAUGGAAGGCGGCGAGCAACCCGAAGGUUCAGCCCGAAAAUCGCGCAGUCAGGGAAGCAUCGCGCCGAAAAGAACUAAACCCGGACCGUUUUAAAUCCAAAGUGAUGUCUCACUGUAUGGCAAUCCGUUCGCAAUCUGACGCGAAAACGGAUCUCGCCGGAGAUCGCGCUUGAUCGAGUGAGAGUCGUAGUCGCAAAUGGAUAUUCUUCGCCGAAAGCGCGACAAUUUUAUGUACCGUUUUGCGUGAGAGAAAUCGCACCGCCUGACCCGGCCUAUUACGUCGUGUUUUUAACACGCACGUGGAUGAACCCUUAGUUUUAAAAAUUGAGUUCUUCGUGUCAUUUCCCCGGCAAUUGAGUUUUAUAUAAUAUUAAUUUUUCACAGGUUGUCUCUUUUAGGGCUUUGAACAGAAACCCUAACCCUAGCCCCCCAGCCACCUUCAUCCCUCUCCCCUGCCCCUGCCGCACACCCCUGGCCGCCACCGACUGAGCCCCAGCCGGCCAACCGCCGCCGGAGCCACCUUCCUUCCCCCUCUCCCUCUCUUUCUCUUUCUCUCUCUCCUCUCGGGUUGUGAGGAAGCCCGAGACUGCCGCCACCUUCAGACCCUCCGCUAGGGUCGCCCCGUGCUCCGGCGAGCAUCCCCGCCGAGCGCCGCCGUCGCCGAGCGCCGCCGCUGCUGCCACUGCAGCCUGCAGCCGACUUGGCCAAGCCCUGGCCGAGCAGAUCGUGCGGCCUCUUCCUCGCUUUGCCGCCGCCCUAGGCGACUCCCGUAACGCCUUCCCGACGUCAGGCCGCCGGCCGCCGCCGCCCCGAGCCGCCCAGAGUGCCGCCGCCGCCGCCUCGGCCAGCCCGCAGCCGCCCCAGACCCGCUCGGGCCGAGGCGAGCGUGCGACUCCACCCCUGCGCCGCCGCCGCUUGGGGCAGCACCCGAGGCGUCCCUCCGGCCUCCUGCAAUCCUCCUCCACCGUCUCGGAGCUCCCCGGCCGCCGCCGUGGCCGCAGGUGCCCGCGGAACCCGUGCCCUAGCCGUGCGGGCUUGUCUUGUUCCUCCGCCGCCGCCGCCGCUUCCAGCCGCUGUCUGAGGUGAGCACCUCACUCCUCUCCUCCCCCGCACCCAUCCCUGGCCUCCGCGCGCGCCGCCGUGCCGCCGGAAGCCGGCCGGAGCAAGCUUGCUCCGGCCAAGCCCGAAAUGGGGCUUUUGUGGGAUGGCCUACUGUUCCGAGCUUCCCGGGGCUUCCCGAUCUCUAAAAACGGGAGCACGGUGAUUGUACCAAGUCGCUGAUCACCGUGCUCACCUUGGUUUCUGUAGGGAAGGCCCCGUUCCGCUGUUUUGGCGAUGUCGCUCCGUUUCAGCCUUUUUGGCUGCUAUUUUGGGCUUGCGCACGCUUAUCCGGCGAUUCGAGGCUGUCCUGAUGCCUCCGGAGGUGAGCACGGUGAUCGUCGGUCAGUGCUGAUCCUUCUUCGAAUAGAAGGAAACACACACAUAAAUACAUAUAAAACAUGUAUUUUUGAAUUUUCUCGAAAUCCGUGCAUCAAACUCAAAAUCCGUCAACGUCAUCAGUUCCAGAACAGCUGAACUGGUCGAAACGAGCUAUUGGACUGCUAUGAACGGAGUCCGGUACGAGCCAGAAGCCAACUCCCUACCGUGGCUUCUCCGAAAAAUCGAGUUACUAUUCACUUUAAGUGAAACUUGAAAAUCGCGUAGAAUUUUCGUUUUAACUCGUUUUCGCCCGAAACUUGACGAGUGCUUUUGUAAUUAAAUUACACACAAAAACAUCAUCAACUGAGAGUUUAGCUACACUGCAAAAAUCUCAGUCCUUACAUUUGAUUUCUAAACACUUCAAGUGGUAUAGAUCAUGUUCAACGGAGCCGAUCGUCAAUUUGGAAGCUCUAUCAUCGAAAACAACUCGAUAGUAAAACGCCCCGUUUACUAUCGAGAGUAUUCUAGCUCAACUCUAUAUAUAUAUAUAUAUAUAUAUAUAUNNNNNNNNNNNNNNNNNNNNNNNNNGGCAGCCACCGAGGCCGUCCCUCGCGCCUCCUGCAAUCCUCGUCAUCCCCGUCUCGAGCUCCCGCCGCGCGCCGUGGCCGCCAGGUGCCGCGAACCGUGCCCUAGCGUGCGGGCUUGUCUUGUUCCUCCGCCGCCCGCACGCUUCCAGCCGCUGUCUAGAGGUGAGCACUCACUCCUCCUCCCCGCGCCCAUCCCUGGCCUCCGCGCGCGCCGCCCGUGCCGCCGCGAAGCCGCCGGAGCAAGCUUGCUCGCGCCAAGCCAAAGCGAAGGUAUUGUGGGAUAGCCUACUGUUCCGAGCUUCCGGGCUUCCCGAUCUCUAAAAAACGGGAGCACGGUGAUUGUACCAAGUGCCUGGAUCACGUGCUCACCGUUGGUUUCUGUAGGAAGCCCCGUUCGCUGUUUUGGCAUGUCUGUCUGUCCGUUUCAGGCCUUUUUGGCUGCUAUUUUGGGCUUGCGCACGCUUAUCCGGCGAUUCGAGGCUGUCUGAUGCUCCGGAGGUGAGCACGGGAUCGUCGGUCAGUGCUGCAUCCUUCUUCGAAUAGAAGGAAACACACACAUAUACAUAUAAAACAUGUAUUUUUGAAUUUCUCGAAAUCCGUGCAUCAAACUCAAAUCCGUCAACGUCAUCAGUUCUCCAGAACGCUGAACUGGUCGAAACGAGCUAUUGGACUGCUCAUGAACGGAGUCCGGUACGAGCCAGAAGCCACUCCCGUACGUGGCUUCUCUCCGAAAAUCGAGUUACUAUUCAACUUAAGUGAAAACUUGAAAAUCGCGUAGAAUUUUCGUUUUAACUCGUUUUCGCCCGAAACUUGACGAGUGCUUUUGUAAUUAAAUUACACACAAAAACAUCAUCAACUGAGAGUUUAGCUACACUGCAAAAAUCUCAGUCCUUACAUUGAUUUCUAAAACACUUCAAGUGGUAUAGAUCAUGUUCAACGGUGACCGAUCGUCAAUUGGAAGCUCUAUCAUCGAAAACAACUCGAUAGUAAAACGCCCCGUUUACUAUCGAGAGUAUUCUAGCUCAACUCUAUAUAUAUAUAGUAUAUAUAUAUAUAUUAUAUAUUAUAUAUAUAUAUAUAUAUAUAUAUAUAUAUAUAUAUAUAUAAUUGAGCUAGAAUACUCUCAAAAAGCACCACCCCCUGGUGCUUUUGAGUUUCUAGCCCUUGGAUCUACUCUUGAUUUACUAGCAUGGAUAUGGAUCAAACACUAUUUCACCUACACACCUUACCACACCUAUCACGAUCAUCCCAUCUCUACAUCUCUCCAUCAAGUAGCUAAAACUCAAAAGCACACUCCCUUAGUGCUUUUGAGAGUAUUCUAGCUCAACUCUCUCUCUCUCUCUCUCUCUCUCUAUAAUAAAUAUAUAUAUUAUAUAUAUAUAUAUAUAUAUAGUAUUAUAUAUAUAUAAUAUAUAUAUAGUGAGCUCGUAUGCUUCUGGAAGCACGGAAGUUCACGCCCGGUGUCCCUUUUGGUUAAAAACAUAGCGAUUUUUUUUUUUUUUUUUGAAAACCUGAUCCCAGGGUAUGCCAGAUCUACCGCAAAUACAGAAAAUUAACUGUUCGCGCGGACAGAGUCUCCUCUGUAUUUGCACGGCGUCACACAAGUACAAGUACAUAACCAGGAUACAACCACUACACUGAACAUACAGACAUCCAACAUCUAUAUAUAUCCAGACAGUCACAUUCAUGAUUUGAACAUAAAAUCACAACUAUUAGUUAAAACGUUUCCAACUCAGAAACGGGUUUUGAAAUACUAAGUUAUGAAAACUACGAAAAACUUUUUGAAAGCUGUUUCCCACGCGAAAACUCUUUUCUUUUAAAACGUGCUACCACGAGGGGUAGAAAACCGUUUUUCAUUUCACAAAUUCCACAAAUCUCUUUAUUACAUUCAUAAAAACCCAUAUUUUCAAAUGUAAUAAAAAUACUUAACCAUAUAAACUAUCUGAGCUAUAUCAACAUAAUAAUAAGGGUAGAAACUAAACCGAAUAACCUGGGUCGGAAGCUCUAUCGACCGCUACAAACGUGUCUCACAUCUCGUCUCAACUCUCACCGCCUGCGAUACCUGAAAAAUGGUGGGGGAGGUGAGAACAUGUAAACAUGUCUCCCCUCCCAGUGGGUACUGCAAGCCGAUGAAGGCGAGGAGUACUUACCGGAUCAGGAAGAGCUAAACAAUAGUACGGAUCAGUAGAAAUAUAGUAGCAAUAAAAAUGAAUGAAAGAGACAUAUAUAUGAAAGAAAGUACAACUACUGCUACUGUAAUGAACAACUGAAUGUAUACAUAUAACAAUACUAUAGUAGCAAGACAAUGUAACGAAAGAACUGAAGGUAUACAAGUGGCAACCGCUACUAUAGUUAUAUGCGUCAACCAGACGAUAAGUCCAAAUAUACCCAAUCUGAUACUGCUAUAUUGGUCACAGACCUCAAGCGUUACCUGUCACAGAGCAGACACUGCGAGUUUAUUCAUGCGUCACCGACGACCUAUCCGGAUAUGUACACCCCUUGGUUGGUGGCCAAACCAACCUGCUGUUUAGAACACACAGUGCUGUGACUAAAUCAUGCUGAUAUGCUCAAACGAAACCCAACUUAAGCCGGUGCCUACGCCGAAACAAGAAACCAGGGCGUACAACGCCAAACCUCGAUCAACCAGAUCGAAACACAUGACGAGAGAGUCGAUGUGUUGCCUGGACCCAAAGUCCACAAAGUCCAACCGACCAGCAAGGUCACUGAUACGAAGUACGAGAACCAACCAACCAGGUGAAUAGAUACGGAAUGCAACAACCGACCAACCAGGUCAACAAAUAUACAUAUAGAUAGAACUACUCUACUCCUACUCAGGAUACUAAGUAUGCAAACAACGAGCAGAGUAUAAUGGAAUAACAUGGGUGCAAGGCUCAAUAUAUACUAUGCAAUAGUAACAACAGCAGAGUAAGGCUCAAUAUAUACUAUACGAAGUACGAGAACCAACCAACCAGGUGAAUAGAUACGGAAUGCAACAACCGACCAACCAGGUCAACAGAUACGGAAUGCAACAACCGACCAACCAGGUCAACAAAUAUACAUAUAGAUAGAACUACUCUACUCCUACUCAGGAUACUAAGUAUGCAAAUAACGAGCAGAGUAUAAUGGAAUAACAUGGGUGCAAGGCUCAAUAUAUACUAUGCAAAAGUAACAACAGUAGAGUAAGGGUAAGAAACCGUCACCGAGCGUGCACCACUGUACAGACGUCGGAUCGAAGUACUCACCUAUCACUGUCGCGUCGGAACACUGGGUAUGCAGAAGUCAACCGGACCUACGAAGAUCCACCAGGUCAGUAUCCAACCCACUAACCUGAAGUACGAGAGCCACAAACCUCCACAAAAGAUCCCUGUAAUCGUUUCCCAAAACCAAUCACCGUAACUCACCGGAAGUCCCGAAAACUAUAGUGGGACGCCGUCGGGACCCACUAAGUAUCCCGAAACUCACCGAGCGUACCACGAGUCACCCGCUGCCACAAAACACUCCUGUUUGGGUGUCUUGGCAGCAAACACAAGAUAACACCGCUACACAAUUAUCGCCGGAUAAUUGUACGAAUACGGGUUCCCGAAAGCGUCUAUUUCGACACCGGAACCCACCGUCACUCACCCAUCAUCACCGAACCCACAAAAUGAUGAUGGUGACCAGCCAACAAGGCUCAGCGGCAAUUCACAGGAUAAACAAACCACGUCGGAAGAAAUCCAAACUAAAACCGCGUUCUUUCGGCGAAUUUCGCCGAAAAACGCACCGAAAUCGACUCCUCGAUUUCUGCGAAGGCUAUCGGAUCAUGGACAAUCAGUCCAGAGGUCACCACACACACACAUGCACUGCCCACAGUAGCCACAAGGUGCACAAUUGCACAAAAGCCCCUCAAUUUACAUAAAAUCCUAUCAUUUUAUGUAAAUUGGGCGAUUAAGUGGCUCGUUCAUGCAAACCGAGAACUUCUAAGGUCUGCCGAGACACGCACUGACAGGUCUCGAAGUUUCGGAGGCCGUGCUCAUGAUUCGGAGCACAACGGCUCACUGUGGGAAGCGCGGGAGCAACCCGAAGGUUCAGCGAACAGCGCGCAGUCGGGGAAAAUCGUGCCGAACAGGCCGAUACGACAUUCGCUGAUCCAAAGUAAGGUGAGCUCUGUGAUCAGCACUGACCAACGAUCACCGUGCUCACCUCCGAAGGCAUCGGAACAGCCUCGGAUCACCGAAAAAAUGCGUGCAAGCACGGAACAGCAGUCGAAAAGGCUCAACAGGGUCGACACCGCCGAAACAGCGGAACGGAGUCUCCCCGACAGAAUAUAAGGUGAGCACGAUGAUCAGAAAGUUGCCACGAUCACCGUGCUCCCUUCCGCAGAGGUCGGGGAGCCUCGGGUAGCUCGAAACAACAAACCUACUUAACUAAGCCCUAUUUCGGGCUUGGCUGGAGCAAGCUUGCCCUGGCCAGCUUCCAGCGGCACGGCGAGGUGCGCGCGGGCCAGGGAUGGGUGCGGGGGAGGUGAGGAAUACGAUGCUCACCUCAGGUGGCGGUAAGGGGCGGCGGUAGCGACUGCGGAGCAAACCGAGCCCGCAACAACUAGGGCUCGGGUUCCACGGGCAAAAGCAGCCACGACGGCGGCCGUGGAGCUCAGGGACGGCGGCGGAGAGUUGCUGGAGGCCGUUGGAAUGCUCCGGGUGCAGCCCUAAGUGGCGGCGGUGCAAGGAAGAAGGCGCGAGCUCGUCUCAGACCGAGCUUGCCCAAGGAACCCAACAGGCGGCUGCAGUGCGGCGGUGGCGCUCGGGACGGCUCGGGGCGGCGGUGACCGACCACCUGAGGUUGGAGGGGGUGCCACGGGGUGGCCCAAGGUGGUGGCGGCACGGGGAAAAGGUCGCACCCAGACCACGGCCCGAGUAGGUCUAGGCGCGAUGCGGGCUGGCCGAGACAGCGGUGGCGGCCCGUUGUGGCGCCGGCGACCGGCCGGGGUGGUCGCCAAGGGUCCGAGGACGGCGGCCGGAGCGGGUUCAGGCGGUGGCUGCGCACAGGGAGGCCGCGAGUCAACCUCGGCUUGGGCUCGGCCCAGGCAGCAGCAGGGUGCAGCAGCGGCUGCGGCGACGCGCGGAGGCGGCAGCGGCUGGCCAGGGGAUGUGCGGCUAGGGCAGGGAAGCGAGGUGAAGGUGGCAGGGUGCGGCUAGGGCAGCUGGGGGCUAGGUAUAUUAGGGUUUCGAGGUUCCAAUUAAACCCUAGAAGACACUAUAUAUAAGCAGGCAAAAAUACAAAUAAGUCCUCCGAAACUCAGAUUUACAUACUGAGUCCUCCACAGCGCGUGUAAAACACGCGAAUACCCCUCCACGUCCGGUUUCACGCGAAACGGUAUAUAAAAUGUCGCAACUUUUGCAAAAUUACCGUUUUGCGAUCACCGACCUCUCCUCGAUCAACGCGCAAUCUCCGCAGAUCCGUCCCUCAGAUUUGCGAACGGAUCGCGCCAGUGCGAUCAGCACAUCUGAGACAACAAACCUACGAUUUUGGUUCACCUCGAUCGAUCACGGAUUCGCGAUGAAAUCCGUUCUCUCUCCGAAAGGCCAAAAUGACGCACAAAUACAUAUAAAACACGUAUUUUCAGAUUUCUCGAAAUCCGUGCGUCAAACUCAAAAUCCGUCAGCGCCAUCAGUUCUAGAAUAACCAAACCGUUCGAAAUGAGCUAUUGGACUGCUAGGAACGGAGUCCAAUACGCGCCAGAAGCCAACUUCGCACCGUGGCUUCACCGGAAAAUCGAGUUACUAUUCACUUUAAGUGAAACUUGGAGAUCGCGUAAAAUCUCCGUUCUAGCUUAGUUUCUCCCGAAACUUGACGAGUGCUUUUGUAACUAAAUUACACACAAAAACAUUGUUAACUGAGUGUGACACCCCAAUAGUCCCACAUCGGAUAGGAAUGAGGUUGUCAUUGGGUUUCUAAGAGACUUAGACACUAGUAAUAAUAACUGGGCUUAAGCAUUUUGGGCUGUUGACUGGGCCCAACGAUUUAUUAUUGCUAGUGGGCUGGGUCGUUACAUUUGGUAUCAGAGCCGGUUCACCAGCUGUACAUGUGUGGCGAGUCUCGGCUGAGCCAGGGUCUGGAUGACGGGCUAGCGAGACGAGUCUCACAUAGCCUGGUGAUCUUGGGCUGUGUGUGAUUGGACUGACGAGGACGUCAGGAUCUUAACGGGUCGAGUCUGUGACACCCCAAUAGUCCCACAUCGGAUGGGAAUAGGGUUGUAGACUUAGACACUAGUAAUAAUAACUGGGCUUAAGCAUUUUGGGCCGGUUGUUGGGCCCAACGAUUUAUUGUUGCUAGUGGGCUCGGUCGUUAUACUGAGAGUUUAGCUACACUGCCAAAAUCGCAGUCCUUACAGGAAGGCUCUGUGACUUCCAAGUCGUUUUCGAUGUUGGGACUUUCGAAUCGACGAUCGGCCCCGUUAAACUUCAUCUAGAGUACUUGAAGUACCUUGAAAAUAAUUUUGUUAUUUUUUUAUAUCAUUUACCUAGUGAUCGAAAGGGCUCAAAAUCAAUAAUUUUAAUUGCCGUGGUGAGCAGUUUGCAAGUUUAACGGUGUAGAAAUAUCCAAAUCAUGUCAAAUUUUGAUCGAAAAUUCUUUAUACUAUAUAAAAUAGGAUUAAUAUUUUCGAUCUAAAAUUUUAAUGUCAAAUCAUCAUAUUUUGUAAGAUUUUUAUUUUCAACCGUUGAUUUUGAGCCACUUCGAUCACUAGGCAAAUGAUAUCAAAAAAUCGCAAAAUUUAUUUUCUAGAUACUUAAAAUACUCUAGAUCAAGUCUAACGAGGCUGAUCGUUGAUUCGAAAGUCCCAACAUCGAAAAUGAUUUAGAAGCACAGAGCGCUCCUUACUUCCAGAAGCAUACCAGACGCACUAUAUAUAUAUAUAUAUAUAUAUAGUCCAGCUACUAUACUCUUAUGAGUACGAUCGCUCUCGUACUCAUAAGUCGUUUUCGAUAAUGGAACUUCUGAAUCGGCGAUCCAUACCGUUAAACAUUAUCUAGAAAAUUUAAAACUUCUAGAAAUCAAAUUUAUAAUUUUUCGAUAUCAUUUACCUUACGAUCAAAAGCUCACAAAAUUGACAAUUUUUAACGGCCGAUAUGGGAUAUUUGCAAGUUUAACGGUGUAAAAGAAUCAGAAUAGAUUGAAUUUUUGAUAAAAAAUUCUAUUCACUACCUAGAAAAAAAUCAAUAACUCCAAUCUUAAAUUGAAGGAUCCGAGCAUCUAUUUUUAGGACGUCAUUCGAUUUUAACCAUUCAUUUU
Molecule: long non-coding RNA, 12166 nt
Filed under: Ananas comosus (pineapple)
Lineage: Eukaryota; Viridiplantae; Streptophyta; Magnoliopsida; Poales; Bromeliaceae
Description: long non-coding RNA (ACOM_LNC019807)
Source: RNAcentral